This is a long non-coding RNA of Elgaria multicarinata webbii, 282 nucleotides long. RefSeq lists it as uncharacterized. The transcript has 3 exons. The record is from RefSeq and is a predicted model, not a curated record. NCBI's taxonomy places the organism in Eukaryota, Metazoa, Chordata, Lepidosauria, Squamata, Anguidae.
AGAGCAGCAAUUCCGAGUUUAAAGAAACAUCGGACUUUACUAGGGUUUUUUUUGUCACGCAGGGAAAGCCAGAAGGGGUGGAAGGCAUGCAGGAGGCAGAUGACAUCAUGUGAGGAUCCUGAGCAAACUCUAUCCAUAAGAGGACCUGUCCACUUAUUCCAUGACUGCUAAAUUUGCUCAAGAGUCUUUGCUGAGGGGCUUUGUCCAAAGCCUUUGGAAGUCCAGGUCUAUGUGGUUGCUCAAUUUUGAAAUUUGGAUCCGGUGAUACAAGUAACAGACAGG